This is a non-coding RNA of Patiria miniata (bat star), 74 nucleotides long. NCBI's taxonomy places the organism in Eukaryota, Metazoa, Echinodermata, Asteroidea, Valvatida, Asterinidae. The record is from the annotation of a RefSeq genome assembly.
GGCUGGAUAGCUCAGUUUGGUAGAGCAUCAGAACAGCAAUCUGGAGGUCGCAGGUUCAAAUCCUGCUCCAGUCA